This 253-nucleotide ribosomal RNA is filed under the name uncultured bacterium. RNAcentral describes it as "partial 16S ribosomal RNA". It matches the Rfam family "Bacterial small subunit ribosomal RNA", at positions 524 to 776 of the family's 1533-position model. The record is from RNAcentral.
UACGGGGGGGGCAAGCGUUGUUCGGAAUUACUGGGCGUAAAGGGCGCGUAGGCGGCCCGCUAAGUCGAACGUGAAAUCCCCAGGCUCAACCUGGGAACUGCGUCCGAUACUGGCAGGCUUGAAUCCGGGAGAGGGAUGUGGAAUUCCAGGUGUAGCGGUGAAAUGCGUAGAUAUCUGGAGGAACACCGGUGGCGAAGGCGGCAUCCUGGACCGGUAUUGACGCUGAGGCGCGAAAGCCAGGGGAGCAAACGGG